Molecule: long non-coding RNA, 487 nt
Organism: Dendronephthya gigantea
Lineage: Eukaryota; Metazoa; Cnidaria; Anthozoa; Malacalcyonacea; Nephtheidae
Exons: 4
Source: RefSeq, a predicted model, not a curated record
GGGACUCCACGUGAAGUUGAUAAUCCCCCGGAUUGUUCAGUCUAAAAACCAUGACCAGCCGACAAUUUAAGAAAGAAAUUCUCAAUCUUUCAAGAGCACUGAGUCAUGUCGUCGAGUAGAAAAGAAUAUUAUGCUAGUAGAGACGCCUCUAAAGUGUAUUUGUUGGGUUCUUUCCCUCGAUGGAGAGCGUUUAAGGAGCAGCAUAAAUUGAGAACAGACAAGGAUGUGGCGGAUAUGCUUCUUGACAGCUAUCUUGCGAUGAAUCGUAUAGUUUGCAAUGCAGAGACGCACCGAAACGGUAAUGGAAUCAAGGGAUAUGCCGCCAAGUACACCUUCCAAAUAUUUUUCUUCUCCCAUUAAAACCUCAACGCCAAGCGCGCACUCAAAUCCGCGUCCAUUGUCUGCUUUGUCGGAUGUUAGAACAUCAUAUUCUAUCAGGUCGGGUCAGAGUGUGAUUUCUGACAGUCGAACGUUGACAGCCAAAGAU